GACGAACGCUGGCGGCGUGCUUAACACAUGCAAGUCGAACGAUGAAGCAAAGAAUCGAAGCUUCGGAAGAAAUCCAUUUCGGAGUAGUGGAAGACGGGUGAGUAACGCGAGAGCAACCUACCUAUUACAAAGGGAUAGCCUCGGGAAACCGGGAUUAAUACCAUAUAACAUUGUGACGAAGCAUUUCGAUGCAAUCAACGCUCCGGCGGUAAGAGAUGGGCCCGCGUCUCAUUAACCGGAUGGCGAGGUAACGGCGCAUCAUAGCGUCGAUGGGUAACCGGCCUGUGAGGCAGGGCGGUCACUCUGGAGCUGGGACGCAGUCCGGACUCCUCCGGGAUGCAGCAGUGCGGGAUAGUGCACAGUCGCGGGAACGCUGAUGCUGCGACGCCGCGUGAGUUAUGAAGGUAUUCAUUACGUAAAACUCUGUUCUAUGGGAAGAAAAGGACUGUACCUUAGGAGAAAGCCCCGGCUAACUACGUG
RNAcentral lists this ribosomal RNA (480 nucleotides) under uncultured bacterium. Its description in RNAcentral is "partial 16S ribosomal RNA". It matches the Rfam family "Bacterial small subunit ribosomal RNA", at positions 28 to 507 of the family's 1533-position model. The record is from RNAcentral.